RNAcentral lists this unclassified non-coding RNA (209 nucleotides) under uncultured Sordariomycetes. RNAcentral describes it as "sequence contains ITS1". Lineage: Eukaryota; Fungi; Ascomycota; Sordariomycetes. The record is from RNAcentral.
GGAAGCAGGCGCCCAGUCGCCCUUCUCUCCCUUAAACCAUGUGGUCCUAUGCCAUGCCUCGGGGGGGUCAAGCGGCCUAGGCCGAGGGGUCCUUUGCGGCCCGCCCCCCCGCGUCUGUCGUGCCUCGGACGAGUCCGCUCGUCCGGGCCGGCAUGCUUCAGUCUUGGAGUGAUGAUUGUGUCUGAUCAGUCCAGUGGACAGAAUUAUUA